GUGCCAGCAGCCGCGGUACUACCGGCAGCUCAAGUGAUGUCCCAUAUUAUUGGGCCUAAAGCGUCCGUAGCUGGCCGACCAAGUCUACCGGGAAAUCCACCCGCCCAACGGGUGGGCGUCCGGUAGAAACUGGCCGGCUUGGAACCGGAAGGCUCAGAGAGUACGUCCGGGGUAGGAGUGAAAUCCCGUAAUCCCGGACGGACCACCGAUGGCGAAAGCACUUCGAGAAAACGGAUCCGACAGUGAGGGACGAAAGCCAGGGUCUCCAACCGGAUUAGAUACCCCAGUAUCC
Molecule: ribosomal RNA, 292 nt
Filed under: uncultured bacterium
Lineage: Bacteria
Description: partial 16S ribosomal RNA
Rfam family: Archaeal small subunit ribosomal RNA
Source: RNAcentral